Molecule: unclassified non-coding RNA, 380 nt
Filed under: fungal sp.
Lineage: Eukaryota; Fungi
Description: partial internal transcribed spacer region
Rfam family: Eukaryotic small subunit ribosomal RNA (bases 1-46)
Source: RNAcentral
AAGUCGUAACAAGGUUUCCGUAGGUGAACCUGCGGAAGGAUCAUUACCACGUUCCAAACGUAUCCACCCACCGAGUAUUGUUUUCACGCUCCCACGAGCGAGACUGAGCUGACAGAGCACCAGUAUGCGUGCGGAGCCUGCGCAAGCGGGCUAGCGACUGCUCUCACUAAGGCAACUUAGACAGCUGUAUCUCGAUCGAUGGCUCUUUCAGACGACUCGACUCUCCGACACCGAGACGAGUCGUUUGAAGCACACAUUCACACUAAUCACACUUUUUGCUAGUUGACUUUUUACUGUUGCGCUUAGCUUCGGCUCGACGCACACGUUUAAUUAUUUGAACGUUAAAGAUACAACUCUUAGCAAUGGAUAUCUUGGUUCUC